UACAAUGGUUUGCCAUAUCAACCUGCAGCCCAAGACCGGUUACUCACUCAACCUAAGCGGGGCUGAGCCUGGUCAGUACCUGGAUGGGCGACCACAUGGAAAAACUAGGUGGCUGUUGGAA
Molecule: ribosomal RNA, 121 nt
Organism: Danio rerio (zebrafish)
Lineage: Eukaryota; Metazoa; Chordata; Actinopteri; Cypriniformes; Danionidae
Source: Ensembl